ACUUAAAUAGUUUAAAAAUUAAAAAUAUUGAUUUGUGGUGUCAAUGAUACAUUAUAAUGUUUUGAGUU
Molecule: transfer RNA, 68 nt
Filed under: Allacta bimaculata
Lineage: Eukaryota; Metazoa; Arthropoda; Insecta; Blattodea; Pseudophyllodromiidae
Description: tRNA-His
Source: RNAcentral